RNAcentral lists this transfer RNA (73 nucleotides) under Bos taurus (domestic cattle). It matches the Rfam family "tRNA". Rfam says of the family: Transfer RNA (tRNA) molecules are approximately 80 nucleotides in length. Their secondary structure includes four short double-helical elements and three loops (D, anti-codon, and T loops). The record is from Rfam by way of RNAcentral. Lineage: Eukaryota; Metazoa; Chordata; Mammalia; Artiodactyla; Bovidae. RNAcentral also lists the same sequence under 2 other names.
UCCCUGGUGGUUCAGUGGGUAGGACUCUGCACUCCCAAAGCAGAGGGCCUGGGUUCCAUCCCUAGUCAGGGAA